This 248-nucleotide long non-coding RNA is filed under the name Brassica napus (rape). RNAcentral's name for it is "long non-coding RNA (BNAP_LNC010226)". Lineage: Eukaryota; Viridiplantae; Streptophyta; Magnoliopsida; Brassicales; Brassicaceae. The record is from RNAcentral.
GGUCUGCGCAAACAUCCAUGGAGUCACGGAGUUGCCAGCCCAUCCCGCAAUUUCUUGUUGAAGAAUCCCAAGCUGCAUAUGAGAAGGAGGACCAAGUAUAAGUGUUAGCAGCUGGUACAGUGAAAAGCGGGACCACAGAGCGUGGUAAGGAAUGCAUUUUUACAUGAGUCUGAGCAGCCUUCCACGCUCGAUCAUCUUGUAUAGCUUUCAAGAUAGCAUUUUCUUCAUAGAAACAUAAGUCCUCAAAC